GACGAACGCUGGCGGCGUGCUUAACACAUGCAAGUCGAACGGACAGGCCCUGCUCUUGUUGGUUGCUCGUGUGGCGAACGGGUGAGUAACACAUGAGUAACCUGCCCUUGUCUUUGGGAUAACUUCACGAAACUGGGGCUCAUACCGGAUAUGAUCUUCUGCUGCAUGGUGGUGGUUGGACAGUUUCGGCUGUUGUGGAUGGUCUCGCGGCUUAUCCGCUUGUUGGUCGGGUAGUGGCUUACCAAGGCUUUGACGGGUAGCCGGCCUGAGAGGGUUACCGGCGACAAUGGGACUGAGAGACGGACCAGAAGCCGACGGGAGGCAGCAGUGGGGAAUAUGGCACAGUAGGGGGGAGCCUGAUGCAGCAACGCCGGGUGCGGGAUGAAGGGCUUCGGGGUGUAAACCGCUGUGGCCUGUGACGAAGCGGGAGUGACGGUAAUGGGUAAAGAAGCACCGGCUAACUACGUG
RNAcentral lists this ribosomal RNA (468 nucleotides) under uncultured bacterium. Its description in RNAcentral is "partial 16S ribosomal RNA". It matches the Rfam family "Bacterial small subunit ribosomal RNA", at positions 28 to 507 of the family's 1533-position model. The record is from RNAcentral.